RNAcentral lists this ribosomal RNA (450 nucleotides) under uncultured bacterium. Its description in RNAcentral is "bacterial SSU rRNA". It matches the Rfam family "Bacterial small subunit ribosomal RNA", at positions 354 to 796 of the family's 1533-position model. The record is from RNAcentral.
GUGGGGAAUUUUGGACAAUGGGGGCAACCCUGAUCCAGCCAUGCCGCGUGCGGGAAGAAGGCCUUCGGGUUGUAAACCGCUUUUGUCAGGGAAGAAAUCCGUUGGGUUAAUACCUUGGAGGGAUGACGGUACCUGAAGAAUAAGCACCGGCUAACUACGUGCCAGCAGCCGCGGUAAUACGUAGGGUGCGAGCGUUAAUCGGAAUUACUGGGCGUAAAGCGUGCGCAGGCGGUUUUGUAAGAUCGAUGUGAAAUCCCCGGGCUCAACCUGGGAACGGCGUUGGUGAGUGCAAGGCUGGAGGGCGGCAGAGGGGGAUGGAAUUCCGCGUGUAGCAGUGAAAUGCGUAGAUAUGCGGAGGAACACCGGUGGCGAAGGCAAUCCCCUGGGCCUGCACUGACGCUCAUGCACGAAAGCGUGGGGAGCAAACAGGAUUAGAAACCCGGGUAGUCC